This 122-nucleotide small RNA is filed under the name Klebsiella aerogenes. RNAcentral describes it as "partial RtT sRNA". It matches the Rfam family "RtT RNA". From Rfam's summary of the family: This family represents a bacterial cis-regulatory element known as RtT RNA. Lineage: Bacteria; Pseudomonadati; Pseudomonadota; Gammaproteobacteria; Enterobacterales; Enterobacteriaceae. The record is from RNAcentral.
UAUUCUGCCCUACGGGGAAGGAUGAGAAGCUUCGACUAAGGUUCGACUCGAGCGUCAGCGAGAGAACGUUGCCGCAGGCAACGGCCCGAAGGGCGAGGCGCUUUAGCGCCGAGUAAUCCUUC